GAUGAAGAACGUAGCGAAAUGCGAUAAGUAAUGUGAAUUGCAGGAUUCAGUGAAUCAUCGAAUCUUUGAACGCACAUUGCGCCCAUUAGUAUUCUAGUGGGCAUGCCUGUUCGAGCGUCAUUAAGUCCACUUAAGCCCUGCUUAGUGUUGGGAGACUGCUCCAGCGGUGCUACCCUGUAGCUACCCUGCAGCUCCUCAAAGACAGCGGCGGAGUUGUGGUAUCCUCUGAGCUUAGUAACUUGUUCUAGCUUUCGAGUACACCACUUCCCCUGCCGUAAAACCCUUAAUUUUUAAUGGUUGACCUCGGAUCAGGUAGGAAUACCCGCUGAACUUAAGCAUAUCAAUAAGCGGAGGA
RNAcentral lists this unclassified non-coding RNA (355 nucleotides) under soil metagenome. Its description in RNAcentral is "partial contains 5.8S ribosomal RNA, internal transcribed spacer 2, and large subunit ribosomal RNA". The stretch from base 1 to 120 matches the Rfam family "5.8S ribosomal RNA", at positions 35 to 154 of the family's 154-position model. The record is from RNAcentral.